Molecule: long non-coding RNA, 3971 nt
Organism: Mirounga angustirostris (Northern elephant seal)
Lineage: Eukaryota; Metazoa; Chordata; Mammalia; Carnivora; Phocidae
Exons: 2
Source: RefSeq, a predicted model, not a curated record
GUGCCUCCCACUCUGUUCAGAAGCCACCGCGUCCCCCAUUCCCAAACCGCUCCCCCAGCUCCGGGAACCCCGCCCCUGCUAGGAGACGAUGCUGGGUCCCCAGAUGCUCGAGGGGCUCAGCUCAGGGUGGGGGCGAGGGGCUCCAAGGGCUGGGGCUUCGGGAACUUCUCCCCGCGACCUGCUCCUGGAGGCUGGGAGCAUCGAAACAUCCCGGGGCCGGGCGCCUUCGAGGACCUAGGGUGGCCAGGGCUCUCGGGGACGACGCGGAGUCGCAGGAGCGAGACUUCUGUCGCUCCCCACCCGCUGCGGGGCUUUUGUGCGCCGGCCCCACCCGGCGGUGAGUCACCGCGCAAGACCGGGAAGGCUAGAACGCGCCCGGAACAGCCGCGCCCGGCCGGCUGCACUUCAGAGCGUUCCGCGCGGCCGCCGGGGGAGCGGAGCCCCGCCCACGACACGCCCCCCGGGGGAGGAGCAGCGGCGCACCAGGCGGUGCACGUGGGCGUGAAGUCGGGGAACCGGGCAGUGUGCGCGCGCGCGCGACCCCGCCCGCGAGCCCCGUUUCCCGCUUGGGCACAGCAGGACUUUCCGUUCCGGGACGGAGGCCGGCCUUUUGGUCCCACAGGGGCGUAGAGGGACUAGACUUCCCGCAAACUUAGUGCCCCCCCCCAACUCCAGCACGUGUCCACGCACGCGACACCAGCCCUGGGUACGCCCGGCUCCUGGGUGACUCACAGUUGCCACAGGAUGAGGCGCGGUCCUGGCGCCAGGGCUGGCGGCCCCCUUCAUCCGGACCCCCUGCCACACCGCGGCUGGUGACGCCGGCUGCCCCUUCCCCACCUCCGCGUCUUUGCACGCGUUAUUCCCUCCACCCGGGAGGAUCUUACUGUCUUGGGACGAGCACAUAGGUAGCCAAGCCGUUUCCAUUCAAAAAUAUUGAUUACACUUCCCAGUUCUGGGGAAACAAGAGGGAAAAGCGUAGUCUUUCCUUCCCGCGUUGACUCAAGGCCGGCUUCCCGAGGGGUCUUCCACGGCCCUCUGGCGGGGAGCAACGGUCGUGUGGCGCCCCGCUCUGGCCCAGGGCCCUCUGGGGGUGCAGCUCUGCUCAAGUGACCUUUCUCUUCUCCCAUCUGGGAUCCCUCCCAAGGGUGCGACAGGUCUUCUCCCUCUCACCCUCAGCAUCUCCCAGCCUCACCCUAGGGCCAAGCCCUGUUCCAUUGUUUUCUUGUUUGCUGACUACCCAAAAGAAGGCCUCACCUAAUCUGCAAAAUGGGCCAAGGCAGCUCCCUCUGGCCUACAGGGAAGGUCCUCGAAGAGAUGACUGGGUAGUGUGGGGGUGCUUCCAGCAUCUCCAGGAGCCCCUGCCUCGAGGUGGGUGCCAGGGUCAGGAGACACCAUCUUGGGCCACACUAGGGGGAGGCCGGAGGGGCUGGAUUGGCAGAGCCCUCACAUCUUUUCUGGUGUGCGCCCUUCCGCGGUGACUCAGAGAGUAAUCCCCAUGGGCCCAGCAAUCCCUCUUCACCCACUGCAACUCGGGAAAUUGCCUUAGGGAUGGGUGUGGGACCCAGGUCUGGCUAAGAAGAGGGGAGAUCACAUCUGAGGGCCAAGGAACUUCUAGGAAAGAUUUUCCAUCCUAAAAAAAAAAGAGGGGUACCUGGGUGGCUCAGUCGUUGGGCGUCUGCCUUCGGCUCAGGUCAUGAUCCCAGGGUCCUGGGAUCAAGCCCUGCAUCGGGCUCCCUGCUCAGCGGGAAGCCUGCUUCUCCCUCUCCCACUCCCCCGCUUGUGUUCCCUCUCUGGCUGUGUCUCUCUCCGUCAAAUAAAUAAAUAAAAUCUUUAAAAAAAAAAAAAAAAAAAGAGAGAGAGAGAGAGACAAAUGAAGAGGAAAGAGUCCUCCCUCUUCCACUGGACAUUUUGCGGCUGGAAACGAUGCUUGGAGCUGUGGUGGCCACUUGUAACCAAAGGAGGAACAAGCUUAAGGAAAAACCAACUUGCUGAUGAGGGCAGAGCAGAAAUAUAGAAAGAACCUGAGUCCCAAGUUACUUUAUCCAGUCCCUAAAUUAACCAGUCCUUCAGCUGCCACAUGCUAGCAAUGGAUGCAGUUUCCCUCGGUGUUUGAGCCACUGUGAAUGAGAUUUUCUCUUGCAAACAAAAGCUUCAAUCCCCAUGUUACCUGGAUGCCAGCAUCCUGCCGGGCUCACCCACCUCCCCAGCCUCCUCUCUCAACACCCUGUCCCUCUCUGCCUCAGCCACACUGACCUUUUUUCAUUCCCCUUGACAUCAUGCUCCUGCUCACCACAGGGUCUUUGCAUGUGCUGUCUUUGCUACCUGGAAUGCUCUCCAUCCUCCCCCACAAACCAUUCUUGUCUAGAGCACCUACUUUUUCAUUCUUCAGGUUCCAGCUCCCCUGUCCACCCUCCAACACAUACACUCAGAAUGGGUCCAGCCACCACUGAUACACUGUCACACGUACUCCUUUUCCACAGUUAUUCUAAUGAGUCCCUUUCCUGUGUGCUUCUCUGUGAUGGUUGUCCAUGGGGCUGCCACCAAGUCCCUUCUACUGAUGAGUGCACACCCAGUGCCAAGAGUGGUGAUCUGGAACAUCUGCCAAACGAAACAGCCAUGACUGUUCUUUGGUUCUCCUACUGGAUAACAACGAGUUCACAUAUUGUCAGAUUCACCAUGGGUGCCAUUAUUGGGUGCAGCCCCUUCCACUCUCCUCCUGCCCCAUGCAGCUGGCCCUCCCAUGGCACCAUGCAAAUGCUUAUUUCUGUGUGCCUCUAUUCUCCCCAACAUUGUGAGCCCUGGGGAUGCGAGUGGAGGCAAGGCCAAGUUGGACUUGGUUUUGCUCCAUGACUGGGACACAGUGGGCAUAGUACCAGGGGAACCCAUGGGAGCCUUUAGGAGCCCAGGCCUGUCUCCAUGAGGUUCGUGAAGCUAGUUGAGCCCAGACUGGCUGAAGAGGAGACGGCUGUGGCCACUGUACCUGUUGGGUAUUGAUCUAGGCUCCAAAGAUCAAUUCUUCCAUUAGCAAUUUCCCUAAAUAAUUCCUGAUUCUCCAGAUUUCAGUUCCUCAACUAGCCAAACACAAGGUCACUAACAUUACAUUUUGGUUCCCCUUGGAUUCUCAGCUCUGAUUCCUGUCAAGUUACAAAUUACAUAAGAGACAAGAAGCAGAGUUUUCUAUUUUCCACAUUCUCUCACUCUUUUUUUAAAAAAGAUUUAUUUAUUUAUUUUAGAGAGAAAGAGACCUUGCAUGUGCCUGAGCAGGGGCAGAAGUAGAGGAAGAGAGAGAGAGGGAGACAGACAGACUCCCUGCUGAGCACAGAGCCCAACACAGAGUUUGAUCCCACGACCCUGAGAUCAGGACCCUGAGAUCAGGACCUGAGCUGAAAUCAGGAGUCAGAGGAUUAACGGAAUGAGCCACUCAGAACUGGUAAUUGCUAAGUUGGAAAAUUGUUGUUUGAAAACUUGGCUCUCCGUGACUUGGUGACACAGCCCAGGUGGUCCUUUGCCAAACUGGGUCGUUGAGCAGAUUCCACUUGGAGGAUUAGUCGGCUCCUCCGAAGGCCUGAUGGUCCUGCCCCAAUGGCUGGACUUGAUCUUCUGACUCAGGACAGGCUGACACAGGUGCCUGUGUUCAAGGGCUGCUCCACGGGGGCCCAGUGUGAGCCAGGCCUCUUCCAAGAUGGGAUCGUUCUCACCUGAGUCAUCUUCAACCGCACGCAGGCAGUAACGUCGUUCCUGACAGUGGAAGAAAAGUGUAUCCAUGGGGCACUUGAGUGGCUCAGAUGGUUGGGCGUCCGCCUUCGGCUCGGGUCAUGAUCCCAGGGGCCUGGGAUCGAGCCCUGCAUCGGGCUCCCUGCUCCGCGGGAAGCCUGCUUCUCCCUCUCCCGCUCCCCCUGCUUGUGUUCCUGCUCUCGCUGUGUUUCUCUCUGUCAAAUAAAUAAAUAAAAUCUUUAAAAAGGGAAAGAAAA